Bufo bufo (common toad) is the source of this 1746-nucleotide RNA transcript. It is a transcript of the gene named stimulator of chondrogenesis 1, with no coding region annotated. The record is from RefSeq and is a predicted model, not a curated record. NCBI's taxonomy places the organism in Eukaryota, Metazoa, Chordata, Amphibia, Anura, Bufonidae. The transcript is spliced from 3 exons.
CCAGAUGGAACAGCUACUGUAUGUGAGAUUGAGUUUCUCACCAGAAAAGUCUUUGACUGCCUUCUAAAAGUCUUCAAAAUGCUCUUCUAGAUGCUCCUGGUCACUGGUACACAAUGAUAGCUCUGUGGGCACGCUGCUCUUACAAUUCUUGUAUUAAUAAUAAUAAACCUAUUUACUAAGGAUGUGAUGGGAGGAUCAGCAAUGAAUCGUCUGCAGUUUAGUCAAUGAGACCUGCUCCUCCAAGAACCGAGAAGAAGGAGGAAUCUUCCUGGGAGCUGGAAUCAGAAAGACGUUUAACUCUUGUAGAUAGUUCACAUUCCAAUUCUGAUCUGUCAUCUGUGGACCGUGGUCUGUGGGAAGAAAGAAUAUGAUUAUUGUGUGGGACUGAACAAAUUCUGAUUUCCAAAGGUUCAUAUAAGCAACAGUUUUAUAUAAUAACCUAACUUCAACUAAGAAAAUAAAAUGGGUUCACCUCAAUCUGAGCAAACAUCAUCUAAAGAGACAUCUGAGACAAGCUACCAGGUCUUAGCAUCUAGUGUAGUCCAGUACAUCUCUUUGUGUCUGUACUGUAAUAUUGUGAAUAAACCAUUCCAAACUAUUGAUGUUGCUUAAUUUUCAAAAAUUUCCUGUUUUAGACAAUUUUCUCCAAUAGUUUGUAUCAGCAUUGUUUUUUCAAUGCACUAAUGUAUUAUUGCAUAAUGGUUAGGACAUCAUUUCCUAUUACUACCCUUUGAAAAUAUCAUAAGAAAAAUGAGAAACAGAAUAUUCUUCAGCACUUUCAUAAAAAUCAUAAGUAGGUCAUAUGUUUUAUCUUGAGCAGUGUGUUUUGAACAGUAUUGGAGGGAUGUGUUAGCACUUACGUGAAUUUUAUAUAAUGUCAUGUAUAUGCUACUAAUAUACUGUACUGUAAGAGUUGUUGUCACGUUAUAACCUCAUAAUAUGACUAUAUCCUUCCUGAUAGUAAGUCCAGAAGCAGACAGUGGUGAGGCCACAUAUGGCCUCAUAGGAAGACCAGCUUGGCUGUAUGUUGCUGUGAGCUGUAUUAAAUAAUCUGGGCUUAUCUCGCUCAUUUAUUUGCAAUUAACUAUUCAUGUAAAAUUUUGUAGUUUAAUAAUAUGGCUCAGGUUUACACUCUGGGUGGAAGUGCUGACUUUCAUCAAGUUGUGUGCCAUUGACCUCUAUAGACUGGGUACAGUGAUGAGAAGGACAGAACAGUGUCAUUAAGUGAAUAUCAACAAAGGGAUCUUUGUGUUAAGAUAUCAGGACAGGUUUUAUGAGCUAACAGUUAUACAUAGCAAAGCAGCUUCACACUGUGCAGACAAGGCAGCCAGCAACAUGCAUCAAUCCACAGGAGAGCAGUCCUCAUUAAAGGUCCACUAUUACCAAUACAGUGAAGUCUUAUUGUAAUAUAACAUGCAAGCCAGAAAUUAUGUGUAUUCAUAUUUGAAAGGAUAACAUUUAGAAAUGCCUUAAAAUGAAAGUUACAUAUAGUAAACUGCUAGAAAAAUAAUAUCAAAUACAACCAAUACAUUUGACAAGACAAGCAACUAGGGAUAAAGUGUAACGUUUUAUGACAUUAUAUUCAAUUAUUUUUCAAAGUUAGAAACAUAAAUUAAAAGUACGAAUACAGGUUUACAUAAGAUAAAAGAUAAAAUAUACUAAAAACGUAGAAAUUUUUUAAAAAUUAGAUUUUGUAUACAGUGAUCGCAUCUUCCCAUUUAUUAGGAUUGCUGCAGAGUGGGUGUU